RNAcentral lists this ribosomal RNA (913 nucleotides) under Bacillus halotolerans. Its description in RNAcentral is "bacterial SSU rRNA". It matches the Rfam family "Bacterial small subunit ribosomal RNA", at positions 129 to 1026 of the family's 1533-position model. The record is from RNAcentral. Lineage: Bacteria; Bacillati; Bacillota; Bacilli; Caryophanales; Bacillaceae.
CCAGUAAGACUGGGAUAACUCCGGGAAACCGGGGCUAAUACCGGAUGCUUGUUUGAACCGCAUGGUUCAAACAUAACGGGUGGCUUCGGCUACCACUUACAGAUGGACCCGCGGCGCAUUAGCUAGUUGGUGAGCUAAUGGCUCACCAAGGCGACGAUGCGUAGCCGACCUGAGAGGGUGAUCGGCCACACUGGGACUGAGACAAGGCCCAGACUCCUACGGGAGGCAGCAGUAGGGAAUCUUCCGCAAUGGACGAAAGUCUGACGGAGCAACGCCGCGUGAGUGAUGAAGAUUUUCGGAUCGUAAAGCUCUGUUGUUAGGGAAGAACAAGUACCGUUCGAAUAGGGCGGUACCUUGACGGUACCUAACCAGAAAGCCACGGCUAACUACGUGCCAGCAGCCGCGGUAAUACGUAGGUGGCAAGCGUUGUCCGGAAUUAUUGGGCGUAAAGGGCUCGCAGGCGGUUUCUUAAGUCUGAUGUGAAAGCCCCCGGCUCAACCGGGGAGGGUCAUUGGAAACUGGGGAACUUGAGUGCAGAAGAGGCGAGUGGAAUUCCACGUGUAGCGGUGAAAUGCGUAGAGAUGUGGAGGAACACCAGUGGCGAAGGCGACUCUCUGGUCUGUAACUGACGCUGAGGAGCGAAAGCGUGGGGAGCGAACAGGAUUAGAUACCCUGGUAGUCCACGCCGUAAACGAUGAGUGCUAAGUGUUAGGGGGUUUCCGCCCCUUAGUGCUGCAGCUAACGCAUUAAGCACUCCGCCUGGGGAGUACGGUCGCAAGACUGAAACUCAAAGGAAUUGACGGGGGCCCGCACAAGCGGUGCAGCAUGUGGUUUAAUUCGAAGCAACGCGAAGAACCUUACCAGGUCUUGACAUCGUCUGACAAUCCUAGAGAUAGGACGUCCCCUUCGGGGG